ACAUUGGAAUUAGUAAAUCACUGUUAAAAGUUAAAAUGGUAGAGAGUUGAUAACAGAAGCACGCUUUUUUGAGUUAUCAAACUGGAUUUCCUCCAAACCCAGUAGGACGUAUUAUUAAGUGAUAUUUACUAAAUAUUUAUUCGUUAAUGAACUUUCUUCUGAUGCAAAAUGGCGGACAGUCUAGCAGAAAUGUACGAAAAGUACAAUAUUUUGUCGGAUGCUAAGGAAAAUAUUUCAAAGCAUUCUAAAGAAUAUCUUCAGUGCAUCGAACGUGCAAAAGGAAGUGAUAAGGAAAAACAAUUAGCAGCACAGAUAAUAUCGAAAUUUUUUAAACAUUUCCCGUCUCUGCAGGACCAGGCAAUAGAAGCUAUUUAUAUUCUAUGUGAAGAUGAUGACAGUUUGAUCCAGAUUUGUACCAUAAAAAUAUUACAUGUAAUAUGUAAGGAUGCUAAAGAACAUAUUCCGAAAAUAGUCAACAUUUUAGCGCAGUUAUUGCAGGCAGAGGAUAAAGUGUCUAAUGCAGCGAGCAGCUCUUUGUUACAAGUAUUCAAAGAGGAUCCCCAUACUACAGUCAAAGUAAUGCUUGAUUUCAUAAACAAUCCUUGCAUAAGUAGCAGUACAGAAGACAUCCCUGCCACAGAGAAAUCUGUGGAGUUCCUAUAUAAAAAACUUGUUAAGCUCGAUGAGAAAUUAACUCCAGAAAUAAAUGACUUAUUAUUGGAAGAGGGCAAAAAGAUCAUUUUGGAUUCCAAUGCAACAGAAUUUUUAACGGUAUUACCCUUCUUAGCCUCCUCAAAAUUAACUAAAACGAUUGCUGGUCAACAAGAGUUAGUCAACUUGAUCGCAGAAAGGGCAGAAAUUGACAAAGAUUUCGAUCCACUUGAUGAAGGGAGUCAAAAUGCCGAUAAGAUAAUGAUGUGUGUUGAACAUGCUCUACCAUUUUUCAGUGCUAAUGUGGAAUCAACGCGAUUCGUGAAAUUUUACUGUGAUCAGAUACUGGGACAUUGGAAGGAAAUGGGUACCUUGAAAGAUGGCAGUAUUAUGCAGUACCAGUUUUUGAAACAACUUGCUGAGCUUAGUACACACUGUGGGAAAUUGGAAACUCCCUCUUUUUAUGUUGUUCAGAUUUUUGAUAAACUGAAGCUCUACAUGCCCCUUCCUCCUGAAGACUGCGACAUAGAUAAAAUGCCUAACUUAGAUUUCACGUCUGUGGAGUGUCUGUUAUAUUCGUUUCAUCGAAUAGCGAGGCAGUGUCCUGAUUUUCUAACUUCUGACCCGAUGGUGCUUAAAGACUUUAGAUCGAGACUCAACUAUUUCUCUCGUGGGGUGGGUGGCUGUAAAAAAUCCUUGGAGAAAAUUCAAAUCAAGAACAAGGAUGACGAAAAAAUCAAAAUUGCUCCCGCUGUCCUCGAUAACAUUACUACAUUGAUAAAAGAUUUGUUCUACACAACACCCGUCUAUAAGUGCAACAUUCACCUGUCCUUCAAAUCGUUAGAAAAAAAAAUCAAGUUAUCACCUGAAAACCCACAAGCACCUCAAAAACGACAUGCACCCAUUCAUUUCGAAUCCAGUAACGGAUCAACGAACAAACAGAUUCGUUCCAAUAAAGGAGCAGAAAACAAAUUGUAUACACCGCCUAGUGGAAAAUUCAGCAGUAACUUUCAGAGUUUUGAUCGUGUAAAUCGAGGAAGAGGGCGAGGUGGAAGGGGAACAAGGGGAAGCAGAGGCUCUUCCAGGUCCUGGCGAAACUGAUAUUAAUUUCUUACGUAUUCAGACUGUCAGUUUUUCAUAGAUCUGGAUUUAUAUAGGGCUAUUCAAAUUCAAGUGUGCAUCGGGAUCUUUUGAACCGUAAGAGAUAGAGGGUUAAAUUGUACCCACUGAAUGUUAUCAAUGUUGAUUGCGAGAGUAUAUAUGAUAAAACGGAAAAUGGAAAUUCUUUUGUGACCUCAUGCGAAAGCCAAUCAGUAAUGAAUACAGAUUCAAAAAAAAAUGUUGAUGUUGACUUGAUCCUAGUGGUGGAUUUCUUUAUACUAAUUUGAAGCUGAUACAAAGUUUCUCAGAGGAAAUGUUGCAUAUUCGUGAAACCAAUAAUAAAAAAUCUGACAAGUCCUCAGUCAGGCGCAUUUUGUACGAAAAUUCUACUUGCAUAUUCUGAUAGUAAUUUUCUAAGGCAAAGUAUUAUUAGAUUUCCGGUAAUGAAAAAGAUAUAGCCAUUAACUAAAAAACCAUAGUCGAUUUUCGUUCGAUAGUACUCCCUAAAUAGAUAACUUUGUUCCAUUUUAACUUACUGUCUCUAUCUCUUACUGUUUAUGAGAUUCUCAUGGACAGAUACAUGAAUUUUAGUAUCCCUGAAUAUGAAACAGAAUAUACUAAAACUGUCCUCGGCAUUUGUAAAUAUUUUUGAAGCUGCAGCAGAUUGUGUACAUCAAGAUCCAGUUUCCAAAUAAUCACAAUUUUCUAGAAAUCAAAUUUUUUCAGACCAAUCUGAAUUCCUUUGGUAAUUUGAAAACAAAUGAAGUAGUUUGUGUAUUUCACUUUUUUGUUAAAUGUAUUUUUUAGUUGAAAAAUGUUUUUUUUGCUUUGCAUGGGAUUGAAUCAAUGAAUCCAUCCGUGGAUUCUCGAAUUGAAAAUUUAUUUAUAUUUUUCAUAUAAUUUUGUGUGCUUGUCCUUCAGAAGUACCUAAAAACUUAGUGGAAUACAACUUCCGUUAGAAAUUUGAGGCAAAGAAAUAAAAUUAUUAAAAUUUUCGAAUGAAAGUUUUAUAUAGAUAUCAAUGCACUGGACUUCUUUAAUUAUUCUCCAAUAUCAAAUAUCCUCCUAAGAAAACAGUACUCUUCAACUGAGUAUUUAUACAAAAUGGGGAUGGGUGAUUUGAUCAAUUUUUUGACAUUACUUUUCACAUAGCUUCUAAAACAGUCGGUAUGGGUAAUUUGCCGACUGUAUAUACCGUACAAUAUAUACAGUCCUUAUAUUUUUCAAUGUACUUUUCUGGAUGUAUUUCAAUAUGAAAAACAAUAUAUGACAGGUGCAUUGACAUCUUAAAUUUUUAUGCUGUCAUGAUUUUUUUUUUUUUCAGAAAUAUGUGUACUUGGUAUACCAUUUUUCAUUUUUAUAAUAUUCUUAACAACAAAAUAUAGACAUAUUCAGUGUUUUGAGAGGUAGAAAAAUUAAUUAAUAAAAAUAACUUGUUACUUAACUUCCUUUAGGCAGUUUGCCGACAGGAGCAAAUUUUCAGGAUAAGUGUCAUUAAGAUUUUUUUGCAUUGGUAAAAUUAAAUACGAUAACUUAUUGAUGAGUUGGAGUUUUUUUUAGAGAAAAAUAUAUUGGUGUUAUCAGGAUGAACUAGAAGUUUUUUUUGUCUUGAAAACAGGUCAAAAAAAUUCAAAAUAUUUAAUUCUUAUAUAACUUGAUAAUAAUUAUAUCAAUAAAAAAGGGGUUUAAGUCAAAACCUAGAUGACGGUACAAAAAAAGUGUGGUGCGAAAUGAAAUGAAGUGGUUGAAUAUAAGUGGCCGAUACUUGAUGAUAAUCCAUAUCAAAGCUAAUUAAUACAGUUUAUUGUAUGAUGACCUAUAAAGGGUUUUAGAAAAAUUGCGACACAUGUUUCGAUAUACAAUAGCUAAUAGCGAAACACGUGUCACGGUUUUUAUAAAAACCUUUAUAGUGAAAAUCAUACAAUGAACUGUAUUAAUUAGUUUUGAAAUGAAGUGAAUUCUAUUCAAUAUCUGACUUGCUUAACUGGUUUGAGACAUACUUAAUAUUAAUUUGAAGUAGGAGAUGUACAGGAAUUUUAGUGAAACUUUAUUUUGCAAAUUCUACCUUGUUAAAUUCUCGUUGAAACAGUUUUAUUUCAUUAUGAGAAUGUAUAUAAUGGUUUUUCAAUCUCUCAAUAUGAUUAUGAAAAACAUUGUAAGCUUCACAAGAUCAUUUAUUGAAAAAUGAUUAUAAAUUGUAAAACUCGAGUGAGCUUGUUACUAAUUCACCAUAGAUUUUCCUACAGUCAACUUUACUUUCAUAAAGUGAAACUAUUACUGAAGGAAUCGAUGGUUUCUGUAGUUAUGGAUGGAAGGAUAUCAGAAUUUGUAUUCUAGUUUUAAAUAAAAAUGUAUCUCAGUAA
RNAcentral lists this unclassified non-coding RNA (4115 nucleotides) under Leptinotarsa decemlineata (Colorado potato beetle). RNAcentral describes it as "apoptosis inhibitor 5, transcript variant X1". Lineage: Eukaryota; Metazoa; Arthropoda; Insecta; Coleoptera; Chrysomelidae. The record is from RNAcentral.